AGAAAGAACAGAGGAUGGCAAGAAGAAAGUGAAAGGGGAAACUGACAAAGGAAAAGGAACCAAGACGAUUGAGGGCACUCUGUCCUGUAUAUCUGGGGCGCUAACUCACCAUGUAAAGAAAAGCCACACUGGCCAUCUCUUUGUGGAAAAGGCAACCCUUGGGUCUGCAGCCAGACUCGGGAGGCUCCUGGCAUACCAUGGACCACAAAAGAGCCCUGUUUGUUUUGGAUAAUUUAGGAGGAACAAGGUAAAAGCAGCAGCUCCGGGGGGGGGGGGGGGGGGGGGCUUUGCACACCAGGUUUUAUUGGAAAGGGAACAAAAUGGCAGUUAUCCAAACAGGAGCAUAGACAAAAACAGCAUCUGGACAUUUGAAAAGUUAAAUGAACUACUUUGAUUGGCUGUACUGUUCCUUCGGUUGCUUGUGAAGCCUGUGCACAAAGCAUGAGAAAUUCUUAACAGUGCUUCUAGUGCUCAGUGCACUGUCCAUUCACUUUAUAUUAUCCCAGACUUAGAUACUUGCAAGAAUAUUUUUCAUCUGUGGAUUGGUGAGAUUUCUAAAUUCAGAAUGUAUGGAGGUAAUUUGAGCUCUGUUUAUAUAAGACAUGUUCAUGUUGGCAUUUGUCCCUAACUCUGUUUCUAUAAUCAUGCCUCCCCACCCGGUGCUGUAACUUCGGCUGAGUGUAAAGCAAUAGCCCACCAGUGGCUAGGAAUGGUCCCACAUGGACAAUCUAGAAUGAUUUUUUCCUACUAACUAAAUAAAGAAAUGCUCAUAUUUA
Molecule: long non-coding RNA, 776 nt
Organism: Hyaena hyaena (striped hyena)
Lineage: Eukaryota; Metazoa; Chordata; Mammalia; Carnivora; Hyaenidae
Exons: 2
Source: RefSeq, a predicted model, not a curated record